Molecule: long non-coding RNA, 1157 nt
Filed under: Helianthus annuus (common sunflower)
Lineage: Eukaryota; Viridiplantae; Streptophyta; Magnoliopsida; Asterales; Asteraceae
Description: hypothetical non coding rna
Source: RNAcentral
UUUUUCCCUUCCCUCACUCUUUCGUUCCCUAUAUAUAUUCUUAUUUCUUUUUUAUUAUUUACACUAUAAUAAUAAAGCCCUAACCCGUUUUAAGUGUUUUAACCCUUGAUCACCGAUACCCUGUCCAAGUGACGUAGGGCCCCGUAACGUAUGUCAAGGCUCUGCCUAAAUUCGUUGGGGUUCUGUCUCGUGACGUAGGGAUAAAGUGGAAUCGGGUUAUUAUACUUAAUGUGAGUGCACUAUAUAUUUUAGUAAAUAACCCAGAAGUGAUACCCGAAAUAUAGCAACCCUCCUAAAACACCCCUGACACCCUACACUUUCUAAAAUACACCCCGUAUGUGAAAACCAAGCCCGAAAUACAAUAUAUAAAUUAAAAACAAGAAAUAGUAAGUUGAGGCGGGCCGCGUAGACCCACCCCAACCAUUCACGCGGGCCGUAUGAAGGUGUAACCGGAUUCCUUUGAUUUCUUAAGUUCAAGCGGGCCGCGUAAGAUUCCCUUAACAUUAACGCGGGCCGCAAGAGGUUAAAAAGGUGGCGCAGCCCGGUGCGGCCACGUGGCCCAACACCCGGCUAAGCUAGUUGUCAACUCAGCACAGCUACGCGUUGACCCAGCUUUGACGCGGGCCGCGUAAGCUUUGUGCUUAUACUACGUGGGCCGCGAGAGACCCCGAUUCAGGCACUAUAUAAAGGAGGCAUCGGCUGUCCAUUUCAAUUCGUUCAUUCUUCGAUUCUUUCUCUCAAAUUCUGAUAUAAGGCUUUAUUAAGCGGGUAUUAUACCCCCCUAAUUAGCGAAGCUCUGCCUCGUUGUAAGUAUCAUAACCCCUGGAUACGUAUUAGAUACUCUGCCCGAUUGAUCUAGGGUUCCGUAACGGCUGUCGUGGUUCUGCCCGACGUAGUCGUUGGAAUGCCGUCUCGGGGAGGAUUAUAAACAGGGAAUUACAAAGGAAAGCCCUAUAAUAGCAAUGUAACUUAGUGUGAAGCCAAUAAAAGCCAGCUGGAGAGCACUGAAGGCUUGGAAAAGUGGCUAUAAAGUUACCUAAAAUAAAAUAGAUGUUUUUAUUAAAUCAAAUAGGAUUUAUUCCAAUGAAAAUUUAUGUACUGCAAAACUUGGGUUUUACCCCAUGUGUUUAAUAUUAUGAAAAUAUGGUGGUUUUACU